GAAACCGAAGUCUAUCAUAAAUUCUUGGAUGUUGCGACUGCAAAAAGGACUAAUACAUAGUGUCGGUUCAAAGUUUGGUUGAGUGGAAGCAAGCAAGAGGCUUAGGACAUGACACAUUGACACCUCCUGGCUCCAAGGGCCUCCCACCAUGUCCUUGUGAGAAUGAUGGUUCAUGGUUGUUGUGCUAACCAUGAGUCCAUGAUGCUAGCAACGGUUGAUGAUCUAGCAUGGGUGUUCAAGUGAACAUAUUUUUUUAUUUUUGCAAAGUUCCCAUGAUGAUAUUAGAUAUAUAUUUGGUAUACAAGUUUAAAUUGGGUCAAAAUAACUGAAUCAUUGUUCUCCUCUACUCCUUUCAAUUUCACCACCGCCUGCCCCCCGAGUCUAACCACCCAAUGCUAACUUCCCAUAACCAAUCCUAUAGUAUGAGGGUUCGUGUUACCUUCCUUCCU
Molecule: long non-coding RNA, 449 nt
Filed under: Setaria viridis
Lineage: Eukaryota; Viridiplantae; Streptophyta; Magnoliopsida; Poales; Poaceae
Description: long non-coding RNA (SVIR_LNC001216)
Source: RNAcentral